AAGCUUCCACCUGUUUCACCUUGAGCGCUUUCGAGGUGAAAUCUGAAACCAACCCCUAGUGGAGAGCACUCAGAGGGAGGGAUAGAAAAGAAAGAGCCGACCACUUGGAUUGGUAGGUGGGAGUUCUAACAUGUAAGGCAACUUACAUUUUUGUCUGGGGCGGCCCCAAGGCCAGCAGAUCUCUGCACUCACCUUCAGAAACUUAAAAGGUUUAUCGGGAGGUCUUAGCGGGGUUCAGCUGCAUAUACAGUGCCGAUGCACCUAAUAGCCUCCCUCUCUUAAGGCUGUAUCCUUAGAACUCCCGCUGUGGGAACAGUGGGCACAAGGUCCAUUCCAAAGACGGGAGGGCUGGAGCCUCCGAUUGCCCAGGUUCAACUCACGUGUCAAUCAACGGUCACAUCCUUUCGAUGACCUCCCCUAACAACCUCUCAUGCUGAGCAGGAUUUCCUGAGGCUCCGACACUUGCCAGGCCUCCAGUGUGGGUCAAGCAAGACCCAUUCUUUGACCAGACCCAGUGCGUCUUCCUUCUCCCUCUGCUUCCUGACCAUCAGGUGUUAGAAAUUCGAGGCUCCACAGGUGACCUGAGAGCACCGUGGACCUCUGUGUCCUCUCCUUGUCAUCCUUCUGGAUUUCACUGCUGUCCCGUGAGGCGGAAUGUCUUUGUUAACACAUCAGAAAGGAGGCCGCAGAGCCCCCGAACUGCCAGACUCGAUGACUGGGUUAUGGAUGCCGGUUGAUGACUGUCUUUGAAACAAUGCAAGAGGAAGAAACCAAGAGCCUAUCACCUUUGCCCCUCAUCAGCAACUCCUGACUGCAAGCCGGUGACUUAUAUAAGCCCCUCCAGUACUCUUGCCUGGAAAAUCCCAUGGAUGGAGGAGCCUGGUAGCCUGCAGUCCAUGGUGUCGCUAAGAGUCGGACACGACUGAGCGACUUCACUUUCACUUUACACUUUGAUGCAUUGGAGAAGGAAAUGGCAACCCACUCCAGUGUUCUUGCCUGGAGAAUCCCAGGGACGGGGGAGCCUGGUGGGCUGCCCUCUAUGGGGUCGCACAGAGUCGGCUGAAGCGACUUAGCAGCAGGUUCCUCAUGGAGAUGGGGGGCGGGGCACAGUCCUUGAGGCGUGAGCCUACUGUGUGCCCCUCUCCUCGGGCUAGAAUAAAGGCCAUCUACCUAUUUCCUGCACACCCUGUCUCUGUAUUUUUCAUUCGGCUUUGGUGUGCGGGGAAGGCCAAGAUUUUGGCCGGCCACACGCCCUGCACUGAGAGUUCAGAGUCGUCACCGCUGGACCGUCAGGGAAGUCCCUCUCUUGUUUCUCUUCUUCAGGUUGCCCGUACGUUCAGAGCUGUUUAUACUUGGGAUCACCCAGUCUUUUCUGUUUUUAGUUUUCUCCUUCCCCUCUUCCCCUUCUUCCGUCUCCUCUUCCUUUCCUGGUUUGUUAUCUUUUUAUUGUCUUCAAACUUUAAACUUCUUAUUUUGUGUUGGGAUAUAGCCUAUUAACAACAUUGUGGUAGUUUGAGGUGAACAGCGAAAGAACUCAGCCAUGCGUACACAUGUAUCCGUUCUCCCCUAAACCCCUCUGCCUUCCAGGCUGGCACGCGACACUGCAUGGAGUUCCAUGUGCUGUACAAUAGGCCCUUGUUGGUUAUUCACUUUGAAUGCAGUGGUGUGUACAUGACCUUCCCAAACUCUCUCUCCUCCCACUGGCAACCUUAAGUUCAUUUUCUAAGUCUGUGAGUCUCUUUCUGUUUUGUAAGUAAGUUCAUUUGUAUCAUUUCUCUUUAGAGUCCACAGGUAAGGGAUGUCACACGAUAUUUCUCCUUCUCUGUCUGACUUAUUUCACUCCGUGUGACAGUCUCUAGGUCCAUCCAUGUUGCUGCAAAUGGCAUUAUUUCAUUCUUUUUAAUGGCUGAGUGAUACUCCUUUGUAUAUAUGUACCACAUCUCCGGGUUGUUAUCUCUUAAAAAAGCUGUAUAAUCACUGUCGAGA
Bos taurus (domestic cattle) is the source of this 1986-nucleotide long non-coding RNA. The record is from Ensembl. NCBI's taxonomy places the organism in Eukaryota, Metazoa, Chordata, Mammalia, Artiodactyla, Bovidae.